UAACGCGUGGGUAACCUGCCCUUUUGUGGGGAACAACUUCGAGAAAUCGGAGCUAAUACCGCAUAAUAAUAGAGGAUCGCAUGAUUCUUUAAGGAAAGAUGGCCUCUGANGAUGCUAUCGCAAAAGGAUGGACCCGCGUCUGAUUAGCUAGUUGGAAGGGUAACGGCCUACCAAGGCAACGAUCAGUAGCCGGCCUGAGAGGGUGAACGGCCACAUUGGGACUGAGACACGGCCCAAACUCCUACGGGAGGCAGCAGUGGGGAAUCUUCCGCAAUGGGCGAAAGCCUGACGGAGCAAUGCCGCGUGAGUGAAGAAGGCCUUCGGGUUGUAAAACUCUGUCCUUAUCGAAGAGAGGUAGGUAUGUGAAUAAUGUACCUAUAGGACGGUAGAUAAGGAGGAAGCCCCGGCUAACUACGUGCCAGCAGCCGCGGUAAUACGUAGGGGGCGAGCGUUGUCCGGAAUCACUGGGCGUAAAGGGCGCGUAGGCGGUUUAAUAAGUCAGUGGUGAAAACUGAGGGCUCAACCCUCAGCCUGCCACUGAUACUGUUAGACUUGAGUAUGGAAGAGGAGAAUGGAAUUCCUAGUGUAGCGGUGAAAUGCGUAGAUAUUAGGAGGAACACCAGUGGCGAAGGCGAUUCUCUGGGCCAAGACUGACGCUGAGGCGCGAAAGCGUGGGGGAGCAAACAGGAUUAGAUACCCUGGUAGU
RNAcentral lists this ribosomal RNA (706 nucleotides) under uncultured bacterium. RNAcentral describes it as "bacterial SSU rRNA". It matches the Rfam family "Bacterial small subunit ribosomal RNA", at positions 111 to 794 of the family's 1533-position model. The record is from RNAcentral.